AGGAAAAGAAACUAACAAGGAUUCCCCUAGUAACUGCGAGUGAAGCGGGAAAAGCUCAAAUUUAAAAUCUGGCGGUCUCUGGCCGUCCGAGUUGUAAUCUAGAGAAGUAAUGCCCGUGCUGGACCGUGUAUAAGUCUCCUGGGAUGGGGCGUCAUAGAGGGUGAGAAUCCCGUCUUUGACACGGACUACCAGUGCAUUGUGGUAUGCUCUCAAAGAGUCGAGUUGUUUGGGAAUGCAGCUCAAAAUGGGUGGUAAAUUCCAUCUAAAGCUAAAUAUUGGCGAGAGACCGAUAGCGAACAAGUACCGUGAGGGAAAGAUGAAAAGAACUUUGGAAAGAGAGUUAAACAGUACGUGAAAUUGCUGAAAGGGAAACGCUUGAAGUCAGUCGCGUUGGCCGGGGAUCAGCCUUGCUUUUGCAUGGUGUACUUUCUGGUUGACGGGUCAGCAUCAAUUUUGACCGCUGGAAAAAGACCUGGGGAAUGUGGCAGCUUCGGCUGUGUUAUAGCCCCUAGUCGCAUACAGUGGUUGGGAUUGAGGAACUCAGCACGCCGCAAGGCCGGGUUUCGACCACGUUCGUGCUUAGGAUGCUGGCAUAAUGGCUUUAAGCGACCCGUCUUGAAACACGGACCAAGGAGUCUAACAUGCCUGCGAGUAUUUGGGUGGAAAACCCAAGUGCGUAAUGAAAGUGAAAGUUGAGAUCCCUGUCGUGGGGAGCAUCGACGCCCGGACCAGAACUUUUGGGACGGAUCCGCGGUGGAGCAUGUAUGUUGGGACCCGAAAGAUGGUGAACUAUGCCUGAAUAGGGUGAAGCCAGAGGAAACUCUGGUGGAGGCUCGUAACGAUUCUGACGUGCAAAUCGAUCGUCAAAUUUGGGUAUAGGGGCGAAAGACU
RNAcentral lists this ribosomal RNA (891 nucleotides) under Agaricus albiceps. RNAcentral describes it as "partial large subunit ribosomal RNA". It matches the Rfam family "Eukaryotic large subunit ribosomal RNA", at positions 54 to 932 of the family's 3401-position model. Lineage: Eukaryota; Fungi; Basidiomycota; Agaricomycetes; Agaricales; Agaricaceae. The record is from RNAcentral.